Molecule: ribosomal RNA, 460 nt
Filed under: uncultured bacterium
Lineage: Bacteria
Description: partial 16S ribosomal RNA
Rfam family: Bacterial small subunit ribosomal RNA
Source: RNAcentral
CCUACGGGCGGCAGCAGUGAGGAAUAUUGGUCAAUGGACGAGAGUCUGAACCAGCCAAGUAGCGUGAAGGAUGACUGCCCUAUGGGUUGUAAACUUCUUUUAUAUGGGAAUAAAAUGUUCCACGUGUGGGAUUUUGUAUGUACCAUAUGAAUAAGGAUCGGCUAACUCCGUGCCAGCAGCCGCGGUAAUACGGAGGAUACGAGCGUUAUCCGGAUUUAUUGGGUUUAAAGGGAGCGUAGGUGGAUUGUUAAGUAAGUUGUGAAAGUUUGCGGCUCAACCGUAAAAUUGCAGUUGAAACUGGCAGUCGUGAGUACAGUAGAGGUGGGCGGAAUUCGUGGUGUAGCGGUGAAAUGCUUAGAUAUCACGAAGAACUCCGAUUGCGAAGGCAGCUCACUGGACUGCAACUGACACUGAGGCUCGAAAGUGUGGGUAUCAAACAGGAUUAGAUACCCCUGUAGUA